Molecule: ribosomal RNA, 248 nt
Filed under: uncultured bacterium
Lineage: Bacteria
Description: partial 16S ribosomal RNA
Rfam family: Bacterial small subunit ribosomal RNA
Source: RNAcentral
AGGGAAUCUUCGGCAAUGGACGAAAGUCUGACCGAGCAACGCCGCGUGAGUGAAGAAGGUUUUCGGAUCGUAAAACUCUGUUGGUAGAGAAGAACGUUGGUGAGAGUGGAAAGCUCAUCAAGUGACGGUAACUACCCAGAAAGGGACGGCUAACUACGUGCCAGCAGCCGCGGUAAUACGUAGGUCCCGAGCGUUGUCCGGAUUUAUUGGGCGUAAAGCGAGCGCAGGUGGUUUAUUAAGUCUGGUGU